AAAUCAUCGAUCAUCACAUGAAAUUGACAACGUCUUUCGUUAAAGCUCAUCACGGGAAGAAAGGUGGCGAUUGGACGUCACACAUCGAGGUUCAACCCCUGGCGACCACAAAUCAUCCCCAGUCGACCACGAAAGUGGAAGUCGUGCUCCUCUACUACUCGUCGCUUUGGAAUCCGGCAUGAGUGGGAAUCUCGUUCCCAAAUAUUACGGCGACAUUCUCAAGUCCGUCGAAGGUUACACGCCAGAGUUGGGAAAGUUCACGAUAAAGUUCAUCAACAACAAUAAUGUUUUGAAGUCUUCAUUUAUCCAAACAAGUCUGGAUUGUAUGACUGCCGCUUCAAACACUGUGCUCUCGAGCAUGGCGACCACCUCGGUUUCCGAAAAGCAGUGGUUGUUCUUCCUCAAAAAUAGGAAUCAGCCAGACUCGAACCCUCAAAACUUUCUUGUUUA
This is a long non-coding RNA of Folsomia candida, 450 nucleotides long. RefSeq lists it as uncharacterized. Lineage: Eukaryota; Metazoa; Arthropoda; Collembola; Entomobryomorpha; Isotomidae. The transcript is spliced from 3 exons. The record is from RefSeq and is a predicted model, not a curated record.